AGUGAACGCUGGCGGUAGGCCUAACACAUGCAAGUCGAACGGCAGCACAGUAAGAGCUUGCUCUUACGGGUGGCGAGUGGCGGACGGGUGAGGAAUACAUCGGAAUCUACUUUUUCGUGGGGGAUAACGUAGGGAAACUUACGCUAAUACCGCAUACGACCUACGGGUGAAAGCAGGGGAUCUUCGGACCUUGCGCGAUUGAAUGAGCCGAUGUCGGAUUAGCUAGUUGGCGGGGUAAAGGCCCACCAAGGCGACGAUCCGUAGCUGGUCUGAGAGGAUGAUCAGCCACACUGGAACUGAGACACCGUCCAGACUCCUACGGGAGGCAGCAGUGGGGAAUAGUGGACAAUGGGCGCAAGCCUGAUCCAGCCAUACCGCGUGGGUGGAGAAGGCCUUCGGGUUGUAAAGCCCUUUUGUUGGGAAAGAAAAGCAGCAGGUUGAUACCCCGCUGUUCUGACGGUACCCAAAGAAUAAGCACCGGCUAACUUCGUA
Molecule: ribosomal RNA, 492 nt
Filed under: uncultured bacterium
Lineage: Bacteria
Description: partial 16S ribosomal RNA
Rfam family: Bacterial small subunit ribosomal RNA
Source: RNAcentral